Small nucleolar RNA from Pantherophis guttatus, 153 nucleotides. Lineage: Eukaryota; Metazoa; Chordata; Lepidosauria; Squamata; Colubridae. The record is from RefSeq and is a predicted model, not a curated record.
CUUCUGUGAUGAUACGAUGACGAGUCAGAAACGGGGCCUCCUUCUGCCCGGGGUCAGCGAUACCGUGCCAUGUUCUGUGGCCCUGUGUUGGUGGCUUUGGCAAAAGAAGGAGGCCCGGUCAUUGGAUGAACAAGAGGCAUUUGUCUGAGAAGG